This 577-nucleotide ribosomal RNA is filed under the name Entoloma albogracile. RNAcentral's name for it is "partial large subunit ribosomal RNA". It matches the Rfam family "Eukaryotic large subunit ribosomal RNA", at positions 53 to 618 of the family's 3401-position model. Lineage: Eukaryota; Fungi; Basidiomycota; Agaricomycetes; Agaricales; Entolomataceae. The record is from RNAcentral.
GAGGAAAAGAAACUAACAAGGAUUCCCCUAGUAACUGCGAGUGAAGCGGGAAAAGCUCAAAUUUAAAAUCUGGUAGUCUUUGGCUGCCCGAGUUGUAAUCUAGAGAAGCAUUAUCCGUGCUGGACCGUGUAUAAGUCUCCUGGAAUGGGGCGUCAUAGAGGGUGAGAAUCCCGUCUUUGACACGGACUUCUGGUGCUUUGUGAUGUGCUCUCAAAGAGUCGAGUUGUUUGGGAAUGCAGCUCUAAAUGGGUGGUAAAUUCCAUCUAAAGCUAAAUAUUGGCGAGAGACCGAUAGCGAACAAGUACCGUGAGGGAAAGAUGAAAAGAACUUUGGAAAGAGAGUUAAACAGUACGUGAAAUUGUUGAAAGGGAAACGCUUGAAGUCAGUCAUAUUGNNCAGGGAUCAACCUUGCUUUUUGCUNGGUGUANUUCCUGUUCAAUAGGUCAGCAUCAAUUUUGACCAGUGGAAAAAGGCAGAGGGAAUGUGGCAUCUUCGGAUGUGUUAUAGCNUUCUGUCAUAUACAUUGGUUGGGAUUGAGGAACUCAGCACGCCGCAAGGCCGGGUUUUAACCACGUUC